UACAGAGGGUGCAAGCGUUAAUCGGAAUUACUGGGCGUAAAGCGUGCGUAGACGGUUAUGUAAGUCAGAUGUGAAAGCCCCGGGCUCAACCUGGGAACUGCAUUUGUGACUGCAUCGCUGGAGUGCGGCAGAGGGGGAUGGAAUUCCGCGUGUAGCAGUGAAAUGCGUAGAUAUGCGGAGGAACACCGAUGGCGAAGGCAAUCCCCUGGGCCUGCACUGACGCUCAUGCACGAAAGCGUGGGAGCAAACAGG
Molecule: ribosomal RNA, 252 nt
Filed under: uncultured bacterium
Lineage: Bacteria
Description: partial 16S ribosomal RNA
Rfam family: Bacterial small subunit ribosomal RNA
Source: RNAcentral